GGCGAGCGUUGUCCGGAUUCAUUGGGCGUAAAGCGCUCGUAGGCGGCUUGGCAAGUCGGGUGUGAAACCUCCAGGCUCAACCUGGAGACGCCACCCGGGACUGCUAUGGCUAGAGUCCGGUAGGGGAUCACGGAAUUCCUGGUGUAGCGGUGAAAUGCGCAGAUAUCAGGAGGAACACCGGUGGCGAAGGCGGCACGCUGGGCCGGUACUGACGCUGAGGAGCGAAAGCGUGGGGAGCGAACAGG
This 245-nucleotide ribosomal RNA is filed under the name uncultured bacterium. RNAcentral's name for it is "partial 16S ribosomal RNA". It matches the Rfam family "Bacterial small subunit ribosomal RNA", at positions 533 to 776 of the family's 1533-position model. The record is from RNAcentral.